GAUGAACGCUGGCGGCGUGCCUAAUACAUGCAAGUCGAGCGAACGGACGAGAAGCUUGCUUCUCUGAUGUUAGCGGCGGACGGGUGAGUAACACGUGGAUAACCUACCUAUAAGACUGGGAUAACUUCGGGAAACCGGAGCUAAUACCGGAUAAUAUUUUGAACCGCAUGGUUCAAAAGUGAAAGGCGGUCUUGCUGUCACUUAUAGAUGGAUCCGCGCUGCAUUAGCUAGUUGGUAAGGUAACGGCUUACCAAGGCAACGAUGCAUAGCCGACCUGAGAGGGUGAUCGGCCACACUGGAACUGAGACACGGUCCAGACUCCUACGGGAGGCAGCAGUAGGGAAUCUUCCGCAAUGGGCGAAAGCCUGACGGAGCAACGCCGCGUGAGUGAUGAAGGUCUUCGGAUCGUAAAACUCUGUUAUUAGGGAAGAACAUAUGUGUAAGUAACUGUGCACAUCUUGACGGCACCUAAUCAGAAAGCCACGGCUAACUACGUG
RNAcentral lists this ribosomal RNA (497 nucleotides) under uncultured bacterium. Its description in RNAcentral is "partial 16S ribosomal RNA". It matches the Rfam family "Bacterial small subunit ribosomal RNA", at positions 28 to 507 of the family's 1533-position model. The record is from RNAcentral.